Small nuclear RNA from Nomascus leucogenys (northern white-cheeked gibbon), 164 nucleotides. It matches the Rfam family "U1 spliceosomal RNA". From Rfam's summary of the family: U1 is a small nuclear RNA (snRNA) component of the spliceosome (involved in pre-mRNA splicing). The record is from Rfam. Lineage: Eukaryota; Metazoa; Chordata; Mammalia; Primates; Hylobatidae.
AUACUUACCUGGCAGGGAAAAUACCAUGAUCACUAAGGUGGUUUUUCCAGGACGAGGCUUAUUCAUUGCACUCCGGAUGUGCUGACCUCUGCGAUUUCCUUAAAUGUGGGAAACCCGACUGCAUAGUUUAUGGCAGUGGGGGACUGCGUUCGCGCUUUCCCCUG